UACGUAGGUGGCAAGCGUUGUCCGGAAUUAUUGGGCGUAAAGCGCGCGCAGGCGGUUCCUUAAGUCUGAUGUGAAAGCCCCCGGCUCAACCGGGGAGGGUCAUUGGAAACUGGGGAACUUGAGUGCAGAAGAGGAGAGCGGAAUUCCACGUGUAGCGGUGAAAUGCGUAGAGAUGUGGAGGAACACCAGUGGCGAAGGCGGCUCUCUGGUCUGUAACUGACGCUGAGGCGCGAAAGCGUGGGGAGCGAAC
RNAcentral lists this ribosomal RNA (250 nucleotides) under uncultured bacterium. RNAcentral describes it as "partial 16S ribosomal RNA". It matches the Rfam family "Bacterial small subunit ribosomal RNA", at positions 524 to 773 of the family's 1533-position model. The record is from RNAcentral. RNAcentral also lists the same sequence under 1 other name.